Molecule: transfer RNA, 72 nt
Filed under: Candidatus Roizmanbacteria bacterium CG_4_10_14_0_2_um_filter_36_35
Lineage: Bacteria; Candidatus Roizmaniibacteriota
Also listed under: 3 other names
Description: tRNA-Arg
Rfam family: tRNA
About the family: Transfer RNA (tRNA) molecules are approximately 80 nucleotides in length.
Source: RNAcentral
GCUCCCAUAGUUCAAUGGACAGAACUGGCGCGUCCUAAGCGUCUGAUGGUGGUUCGAUUCCGCCUGGGAGCA